CAGCACCUCAAGUGGUCAGGAUGAUUAUUGGGCCUACAGCAUCCGUAGCCGGCGCUGUAAGUUUUCGGUUAAAUCUGUACGCUCAACGUACAGGCUGCCGGGAAUACUGCAGCGCUAGGGAGUGGGAGAGGUAGACGGUACUCGGUAGGAAGGGGUAAAAUCCUUUGAUCUAUUGAUGACCACCUGUGGCGAAGGCGGUCUACCAGAACACGUCCGACGGUGAGGGAUGAGAGCUGGGGGAGCAAACCGGAUUAGAUACCCGAGUAGUCC
This 270-nucleotide ribosomal RNA is filed under the name uncultured archaeon. Its description in RNAcentral is "partial 16S ribosomal RNA". It matches the Rfam family "Archaeal small subunit ribosomal RNA", at positions 477 to 747 of the family's 1478-position model. The record is from RNAcentral.